AUAUCACCGAAGCUGUGACUUCAUAUUAAUAUGAGGGGUAGGGGAGCAUUGUAACUGCGUCGAAGGUGUACCUGCGAGGGAUGCUGGAGCGGUUACAAACGAAAAUGUAGGCAUAAGUAACGAUAAUGCGGGCGAGAAACCCGCACGCCGAAAGACCAAGGUUUCCCCAGCUAUGCUAAUCAGCUGGGGGUCAGUCGGGACCUAACGCGAACCCGAAGGGGAUAGUGGAUGGACAACAGAUUAAUAUUUCUGUACCUGCUCACGCUAAAAGUGACGGAGGCGAGAAGUUGGUGCGUACAGACGGAAUUGUACGUUGAAGGGAGCGGUAACGCCCCGAUAGUACACCGAGACCACGGUCAAGGUGAUAAUCCAGCAUAUCGACUUCCAAGAAAAGCAAGUGAAGCAGCCCGUACCGUAAACCGACACAGGUGGUUGGGAUGAGUAUUCUAAGGCGCUCGAGAGAUUCAUGGCUAAGGAACUAGGCAAAAUAGACCCGUAACUUCGGGAGAAGGGUCGCCCCCUUAUGGGGGGCCGCAGUGAAGAGGUCCAGGCGACUGUUUAUCAAAAACACAGGGCUCUGCAAAAUCGAAAGAUGAAGUAUAGGGCCUGACACCUGCCCGGUGCUGGAAGGUUAAGAGGAGAUGUCAUUCCUUCGGGGAGAAGCAUUGAAUUGAAGCCCCAGUAAACGGCGGCCGUAACUAUAACGGUCCUAAGGUAGCGAAAUUCCUUGUCGGGUAAGUUCCGACCUGCACGAAUGGUGCAACGAUCUGGACACUGUCUCGGCCAUGAGCUCGGUGAAAUUGUAGUAUCGGUGAAGAUGCCGGUUACCCGCAGUGGGACGAAAAGACCCCGUGCACCUUUACUAUAGCUUCGUAUUGACCUUGGUCAAGCAAUGUGUAGGAUAGCUGGGAGACUUUGAAGCUGCAUCGCUAGGUGUGGUGGAGUCAUUGUUGAAAUACCAGCCUUUGCUUGUCCGGGGCCUAACUCUCGAUGAGAGAACAGUGCGUGGUGGGUAGUUUGACUGGGGUGGUCGCCUCCAAAAGAGUAACGGAGGCUUCUAAAGGUGCCCUCAAUACGGUUGGCAAUCGUGUGUAGAGUGCAAUGGCACAAGGGCGCUUGACUGAGAGACAUACAGGUCGAUCAGGUUGGAAACAAGAGCAUAGUGAUCCGGUGGUUCCGCAUGGAAGGGCCAUCGCUCAAAGGAUAAAAGGUACGCCGGGGAUAACAGG
This 1229-nucleotide ribosomal RNA is filed under the name bacterium EBAD46. RNAcentral's name for it is "bacterial LSU rRNA". It matches the Rfam family "Bacterial large subunit ribosomal RNA", at positions 1188 to 2481 of the family's 2925-position model. The record is from RNAcentral.